Molecule: ribosomal RNA, 429 nt
Filed under: Actinomycetes bacterium
Lineage: Bacteria; Bacillati; Actinomycetota; Actinomycetes
Description: Actinobacteria bacterium partial 16S ribosomal RNA
Rfam family: Bacterial small subunit ribosomal RNA
Source: RNAcentral
UAGGGAAUCUUCCGCAAUGGGCGAAAGCCUGACGGAGCAACGCCGCGUGAGUGAUGAAGGUCUUCGGAUCGUAAAACUCUGUUAUUAGGGAAGAACAAAUGUGUAAGUAACUAUGCACGUCUUGACGGUACCUAAUCAGAAAGCCACGGCUAACUACGUGCCAGCAGCCGCGGUAAUACGUAGGUGGCAAGCGUUAUCCGGAAUUAUUGGGCGUAAAGAGGGCGUAGGCGGUUUUUUAAGUCUGAUGUGAAAGCCCACGGCUCAACCGUGGGGGGUCAUUGGAAACUGGAAAACUUGAGUGCAGAAGAGGAAAGUGGAAUUCCUUGUGUAGCGGUGAAAUGCGCAGAGAUAUGGAGGAACACCAGUGGCGAAGGAGACUUUCUGGUCUGUAACUGACGCUGAUGUGCGAAAGCGUGGGGAUCAAACAGG